UCUGCAGACAAGGUCUUGAGCCUAAUUAAUCAAAUUAAAGAAUCCAUUCCUCAGCCUCUCCAUUAAUCAAGCUGUACUGUGUGAUGUGAAUGUAAAUUGACCUUACUGGAAGAGACUCCAUCAAGCAUCACAUCGCAAACACGCUGCACAUAAUGGACCCAUACCAGCAGAUUAAGAAGAAGGUAACAACCGACUCAACAAAGGACCUAUAAAAAAAAGGCGCUGUCAGGCGUGCUGCACCGAGUGGAGGAGCUCAGUGAAGACUGGCGCUCUCUGAGAAGCGUAUCCAGCCAAGAGACCAUCUGUCACUGCGAAUAACUGCGUGACAGCACAAAUACAGUCCUACCUCACUAAAACCCCGACUAGCACCGAGAACUGAUGGAUAUGAGAGCUUGGAAAUGAAAGAACGGAUCCAAACAAAGCAUUUCUUGUCACAGUGAAAAGGAAUGAAUGAAUAUAAAGCAAACAGUCAUAGAUUUAAGAUGAUUGCUAAUACUACCUUUGAAAGACUAAAUAGCCUAUUUGAGUGGUAAGCAAGGAGUUUUAUAUCGUGUCUAGCUGAAACUGCUCAUUUAGCAUUAUUUAUUAUAGGCCUAGGUGAACCUGGUGUUAGUAUGGUGUAGUUAGCCCCUACUGGUAGAUGUUGUUACUACACUCGU
Long non-coding RNA from Onychostoma macrolepis, 659 nucleotides. RefSeq lists it as uncharacterized. The transcript is spliced from 3 exons. Lineage: Eukaryota; Metazoa; Chordata; Actinopteri; Cypriniformes; Cyprinidae. The record is from RefSeq and is a predicted model, not a curated record.